Molecule: non-coding RNA, 622 nt
Organism: Odocoileus virginianus texanus
Lineage: Eukaryota; Metazoa; Chordata; Mammalia; Artiodactyla; Cervidae
Source: RefSeq, a predicted model, not a curated record
CGAGCCGCACCGGCCCGGCGCCCGUGUGGACCGGCCACUGCCAACUGCUUUGUGUUCAGAUCGGUAGCUGUUUGGGGUGGAAACAGUGAAGCAGGAAAGGCGAAAUCCAGUGAUAAGAAAAUGAGAAGGGUUCUUAUAACAUUUUCCCCCUAGACAAAUAUGCUUAGGUGCAAGGCAGUUAGUUAAGCAUUUGGGGAGAUUUUUUAAAAAAGAAUUGGGUUGGGAAGCAUACAUAUAUGAAAGGUAUCCCCUCAAAGAACGCAUUGCAGGCUUCAUUGUAGAAACUGACGUCACGAAAAAGACUUAAAAAGGGACAAGGAUUUAGGAAGGGACUGGGACGAUGGAGUGGAUGAAGAGGGAAGUAAACAGAGGACGUCUGCCUGCCAUCAGCUGUCGCAAUUGCCUUUGAAGGUGCACCUGAGGGGAAUUCAGGAUAAAGUAAAACAGGAUACUGGCCCUGGAGAGUGGACAGAACAAGUUCAGAGUCCAGACUCUUGCAUCUUCUCAUAGCAAGAACUCCUGUAUAUUCUGGCUCCUCUCUUACCAAUUUGGAACGACUCCUCAGAGAUACCUGAGAGGCAGCAUCCUAGGCUAAAGUCCUCAGUAAGGCCACCAAAUAAAA